This 466-nucleotide ribosomal RNA is filed under the name Bacillus sp. '7.3 MW-7'. RNAcentral's name for it is "bacterial SSU rRNA". It matches the Rfam family "Bacterial small subunit ribosomal RNA", at positions 17 to 473 of the family's 1533-position model. Lineage: Bacteria; Bacillati; Bacillota; Bacilli; Caryophanales; Bacillaceae. The record is from RNAcentral.
AUCUUGCUCAGGACGAACGCUGGCGGCGUGCCUAAUACAUGCAAGUCGAGCGGACAGAUGGGAGCUUGCUCCCUGAUGUUAGCGGCGGACGGGUGAGUAACACGUGGGUAACCUGCCUGUAAGACUGGGAUAACUCCGGGAAACCGGGGCUAAUACCGGAUGGUUGUUUGAACCGCAUGGUUCAGACAUAAAAGGUGGCUUCGGCUACCACUUACAGAUGGACCCGCGGCGCAUUAGCUAGUUGGUGAGGUAACGGCUCACCAAGGCGACGAUGCGUAGCCGACCUGAGAGGGUGAUCGGCCACACUGGGACUGAGACACGGCCCAGACUCCUACGGGAGGCAGCAGUAGGGAAUCUUCCGCAAUGGACGAAAGUCUGACGGAGCAACGCCGCGUGAGUGAUGAAGGUUUUCGGAUCGUAAAGCUCUGUUGUUAGGGAAGAACAAGUGCCGUUCAAAUAGGGCGGC